Saccostrea cuccullata (small rock oyster) is the source of this 450-nucleotide long non-coding RNA. RefSeq lists it as uncharacterized. The record is from RefSeq and is a predicted model, not a curated record. Lineage: Eukaryota; Metazoa; Mollusca; Bivalvia; Ostreida; Ostreidae. The transcript is spliced from 3 exons.
CUGUAUUCUUGUUAUCUUGAUUUUGCAGUGCCUAAGGGGACAUCAAAUAAUGCGAUUAUUGGUCUGUCUUACGCUAUCACAAAACAAAUUUUACAGUUUAUUGAAUAACUGUACGUGGAAUUAUGACAAUAUACGAGUACAAAGGAUAUUAUAUUUUACUACACUCUGAUUUGCACAGAAACAUGGUCCAAGACUGGCAGCCCAAUCAUGACUGAUGUAUCUGCAUCGACAACACCCAAAGUGUGCAUGGACACCCAUCCUUGUGCCUUAUAUAUAGAAAGGAAGAGAUUUGUAGAAGGAGUGGACCAUUCUAUCAAUGGUCUGAGAAAAAUUGUCCGCUGUACUGUGGAUUUUGUCAGGAGCCAACUAUAACUGUACCCUGCGAGGACAAACUUUCUAACUGUAAUCAAUAUGGUCAAGAUAUGUGUACCAACAGUCGUCACAUUUUAU